UAAAGAGUAAUAGAGAAACCUAUAGAAAAUAUUUUCUGAAGUAUUUAUACACCACGAGUCAAUAUUAUACUACGGAUAGUCACCGGCCUUCAUUAAUUUCCGUUUUAAAUUUUGUGAUAUUUUGCGAGGCGGAAGUUUCGAUCUCCCAAAAGGUGUGAAAGAUGUCCGCACACCAUUUAGUUGGUACGGGAAGACGGCCGCCACACCCACCACCGCUGCCUCGGAAUGGAAGCAAUGUCUUAACGGCCUCCGAAGCUCGUGCAGAACGCCUGCGGAUAAUCCCUACCAAUGAAUCGAGAGCAAGAGAGUUCACACCAAUGGAGGUCGAUCAAUUACCUGCCGAUGACAAAGAUUUAAUUCAGGUGUCUAAAGUAGAUCUUAACGUUCGAAACAACACCAGAGCUCACCACACAGAUAGUUUUGACAUCACUGAUGCUUUAGUGUUUGACAACAGAGAAGAACUCGUUAUU
Molecule: long non-coding RNA, 470 nt
Organism: Mercenaria mercenaria
Lineage: Eukaryota; Metazoa; Mollusca; Bivalvia; Venerida; Veneridae
Exons: 3
Source: RefSeq, a predicted model, not a curated record